Non-coding RNA from Trichobilharzia regenti, 46 nucleotides. The record is from Rfam. Lineage: Eukaryota; Metazoa; Platyhelminthes; Trematoda; Strigeidida; Schistosomatidae.
GCAUUGCUGAAGAGUCCCAAACUGGGACGAAACAGUUGUCCAGAAC